AUUUGAGAUGCGGAACAUAACAGAACAAAAGAUGAGGAAGUGAAGUUGUUUGAUGUGAUGUCAUCAUGUCCAACAACAAUAGCAAGAAGCGCCGCCAUGCUCCGCCCGCGGCACCCGACGCCGUUUUCCGAAUAGUGUGUCCGGCUGCAAAGACGGCGGACGUAGCGGCUAUCGGCGGCGACGGAGCUAAGAUUCUGGUGGAGGACUUGGUCGGCGCGGAGGAGCGCGUGGUUGUUAUCGUGGGCGACGAGUCUGCUGCGCAGGUUGCGUUGAUUAGGGUUUUGGAGAGAACGAUGGAUGAAGAAACUAAGAAUUCGACAGUGUCGUGUAAAUUGGUGGCCCCCAGCUAUCAGGUUGGAUGUGUUCUCGGCCGUGGAGGCAAGAUCGUCGAAAAGAUCCGGCAAGACACUGGGGCCCACAUUAGGGUUUUGCCCAAAGAUCAACCUCCUCCUCCUCCCGGAGACGAAUUCAUCCAGAUAACUGGAAACUUUGGCGCAGUAAAGAAAGCGGUUCUAUCUGUUUCAGCUUGUCUUCAUGAGAACAAUUAUGGUGCCUUUAAGCCUUCUGGAGGAGGUUCAUAUGCUCCUCCUGAUCAUCAUUCCAGAGGUGCUUAUUCUGAAAGUGCUGGACAUUCUUCUCAUAGGAUGUUUGUGGAAGAGGAGGUUGUCUUCAAGCUCUUGUGUCGCCAUGAUAAAGUUGGUAGCCUUAUUGGCAAAGGUGGUUCUGUAGUGCGGGCUCUCCAGAACGAAACUGGUGCAUCUAUCCAAAUUGUGGAGGCCGGACCUGAUUCGGAUGAGCGUGUUGUUGUCAUAUCUGCACAAGAGACAUCAGAGCAAAAACAUUCUCCUGCACAAGAAGCUGUCAUCCGUGUUCAUUGUCGACUCACAGAGAUUGGAUUUGAACCAAGUGCUGCAGUUGUUGCUAAGCUUCUUGUGCGUUCACCACAGGUGGGCUGCCUCUUGGGCAAGGGAGGUCUUGUUAUAUCUGAAAUGCGAAGGGCCACAGGUGCUAGUAUUCGCAUUUUUUCAAAGGAACAGAUUAAAUACAUUUCCCAAAAUGAAGAAGUUGUACAGGUUAUUGGGAGCUUGCAAUCUGUACAAGAUGCUUUGUUUCACAUAACCAACAGAAUUCGGGAAACCAUUUUCCCAAUAAGGACUCCUCCAAAUUUUAGUGCACCACCACAUUUUCCACCAUUUCCAGAAAUGCCACCUCCUUUAUUUAGGCCAAGAAAUCACUUGAUGUCCUCUGGCCACCCUCCUCCUCCUCAAGUUGGGCACCCUCAUGACCAUUCAACUGUUCCCCCCAUGCCUGUUGACCAUCAGCAGCAUGCAUUUGUACAUGGUAUGGGACGUGGUCCACCAAACAUGGAUCGAGUUCCCUAUCCUCGUGGUUAUGAAGGACCAAAUUCUCCAAGAUCGUGGAAUCCUCUGGUCAGUUUCACUUUUCAGAUACAGGGGUUAAUGCCUGGGAAUCUUCAUAUCUAUGGCUGUUGACAGAGGAAAUCCAGGAGGAACAGCUGAUACUUCUAGUUUGACCUCUAGAAAUGAGACCCCUGUAAAGAACGGAAAUCCAUUGCAGAAUCCAAAUAGCUUAACUAUUGAGAUCACCAUCCCAUAUAUGUAUUUAACUCACGUGUAUGGGGAGAACAAUAGCAACCUAACUCAGAUUCGACAGACGUCUGGUGCAAACGUGGCUGUUCAUGAUUCAAAACCUGGAGCCACUGAGGGUCUGGUGAUUGUGUCUGGAGCACCAGAUCAAACUCACGCUGCUCAAUGCCUAAUUCAAGGUUUCAUUUUGUGUGGGCAGACUGUAGCUUGAGACUGCAAGAACAAGAGGCAAUCUAAAAAUUAAAAUCCACGCAGCAAAUCUUGUAAUAGAUAUUCCAUUCGUGAUGGAUUAAGGAUUUAUGUCAAGGUUGUCGUACCAUUUUGUGAAUUGCACGUUCAAUUAGUGUAAUUUAUUUGUUCUUUCCAGGCCGCUUGA
This is an RNA transcript of Glycine soja, 1983 nucleotides long. It is a transcript of the gene named KH domain-containing protein HEN4-like, with no coding region annotated. Lineage: Eukaryota; Viridiplantae; Streptophyta; Magnoliopsida; Fabales; Fabaceae. The transcript has 7 exons. The record is from RefSeq and is a predicted model, not a curated record.